UACGAAGGGAGCUAGCGUUGUUCGGAAUUACUGGGCGUAAAGGGCGCGUAGGCGGUCUUGUAAGUCUUGUGUGAAAUCCCUCGGCUUAACUGAGGAACUGCACGGGAUACUGCGAGACUUGAGAUCGGGAGAGGGAAGCGGAAUUCCGGGUGUAGCGGUGAAAUGCGUAGAUAUCCGGAGGAACACCGGUGGCGAAGGCGGCUUCCUGGACCGACACUGACGCUGAGGCGCGAAAGCUAGGGGAGCAAACGGG
This 253-nucleotide ribosomal RNA is filed under the name uncultured bacterium. RNAcentral's name for it is "partial 16S ribosomal RNA". It matches the Rfam family "Bacterial small subunit ribosomal RNA", at positions 524 to 776 of the family's 1533-position model. The record is from RNAcentral.